RNAcentral lists this long non-coding RNA (325 nucleotides) under Ricinus communis (castor bean). RNAcentral's name for it is "long non-coding RNA (RCOM_LNC003697)". The record is from RNAcentral. Lineage: Eukaryota; Viridiplantae; Streptophyta; Magnoliopsida; Malpighiales; Euphorbiaceae.
UUUCGGGCAUCUUAUGACAAUGCAUCGCCCACACCGUGCGUUGACAACCUAUUAGCACGCUCUUGCAUGGGUUUGGGGCCCCAACAGCUUUGGUUGGAUCUUCCAUCCAUGUCUCGGCCUCGCCCUCUACGGCCAUCACAGCCGCAUAAAAUUCCGUCAAUUCAUAUUCGGGCCCGCGUCAGUUCCGACUGGGGCUAUUAUAGGCUACACAACACCUCGAUGCCUCACCUACAAUAAGAAAAUAAAGCCCCAUGUAUGCCUAAAGCAAGGGCGAUGCCCAUGCUCCAUUUUUGAAUUUUUCCGAAAAUGGGCCCCGGUGGGCCCA